GUAUAAGAGACAGCAGCCGCCGCGGUAAUACGGAGGGUGCAAGCGUUAAUCGGAAUUACUGGGCGUAAAGCGCACGCAGGCGGUCUGACAAGUCAGAUGUGAAAUCCCCGGGCUUAACCUGGGAACUGCAUUUGAAACUGUCAGGCUGGAGUCUUGUAGAGGGGGGUGGAAUUCCAGGUGUAGCGGUGAAAUGCGUAGAGAUCUGGAGGAAUACCGGUGGCGAAGGCGGCCCCCUGGACAAAGACUGACGCUCAGGUGCGAAAGCGUGGGGAGCAAACAGGAUUAGAUACCCCAGUAGUCCCUGUCUCUUAUAC
This 314-nucleotide ribosomal RNA is filed under the name uncultured bacterium. RNAcentral's name for it is "partial 16S ribosomal RNA". It matches the Rfam family "Bacterial small subunit ribosomal RNA", at positions 495 to 807 of the family's 1533-position model. The record is from RNAcentral.